CUACGGGCGGCUCCAGUGGGGAAUAUUGGACAAUGGGGGAAACCCUGAUCCAGCAAUGCCGCGUGUGUGAAGAAGGCCUGCGGGUUGUAAAGCACUUUCGGUUGGGAGGACUGCUUCUAGCACUAAUAUUGUUGGAAGUUGACGUUACCUUCAGAAGAAGUACCGGCUAACUCCGUGCCAGCAGCCGCGGUAAUACGGAGGGUGCAAGCGUUAAUCGGAAUUACUGGGCGUAAAGCGCGCGUAGGCGGCUAGAUCAGUCGGGUGUGAAAGCCCCGGGCUUAACCUGGGAACUGCAUCCGAUACUGUCUAGCUUGAGUAUAGGAGAGGAGAGUGGAAUUCCACAUGUAGCGGUGAAAUGCGUAGAUAUGUGGAGGAACACCAAUGGCGAAGGCAGCUCUCUGGCCUGAUACUGACGCUGAGGUGCGAAAGCGUGGGGAUCAAACAGGAUUAGAUACCCGUGUAGUC
This 465-nucleotide ribosomal RNA is filed under the name uncultured bacterium. Its description in RNAcentral is "partial 16S ribosomal RNA". It matches the Rfam family "Bacterial small subunit ribosomal RNA", at positions 339 to 795 of the family's 1533-position model. The record is from RNAcentral.